Molecule: ribosomal RNA, 1443 nt
Filed under: uncultured organism
Description: SSU rRNA
Rfam family: Bacterial small subunit ribosomal RNA
Source: RNAcentral
UGCUACAGGCUUAACACAUGCAAGUCGAGGGGCAUCAGGAAGAAAGCUUGCUUUCUUUGCUGGCGACCGGCGCACGGGUGAGUAACACGUAUCCAACCUGCCCUUUACUCGGGGAUAGCCUUUCGAAAGAAAGAUUAAUACCCGAUAGUAUAAUGAUUCCGCAUGGUUUCAUUAUUAAAGGAUUCCGGUAAAGGAUGGGGAUGCGUUCCAUUAGGUUGUUGGUGAGGUAACGGCCCACCAAGCCUUCGAUGGAUAGGGGUUCUGAGAGGAAGGUCCCCCACAUUGGAACUGAGACACGGUCCAAACUCCUACGGGAGGCAGCAGUGAGGAAUAUUGGUCAAUGGGCGCUAGCCUGAACCAGCCAAGUAGCGUGAAGGAUGAAGGCUCUAUGGGUCGUAAACUUCUUUUAUAUAAGAAUAAAGUGCAGUAUGUAUACUGUUUUGUAUGUAUUAUAUGAAUAAGGAUCGGCUAACUCCGUGCCAGCAGCCGCGGUAAUACGGAGGAUCCGAGCGUUAUCCGGAUUUAUUGGGUUUAAAGGGAGCGUAGGUGGACUGGUAAGUCAGUUGUGAAAGUUUGCGGCUCAACCGUAAAAUUGCAGUUGAUACUGUCAGUCUUGAGUACAGUAGAGGUGGGCGGAAUUCGUGGUGUAGCGGUGAAAUGCUUAGAUAUCACGAAGAACUCCGAUUGCGAAGGCAGCUCACUGGACUGCAACUGACACUGAUGCUCGAAAGUGUGGGUAUCAAACAGGAUUAGACACCCUGGUAGUCCACACAGUAAACGAUGAAUACUCGCUGUUUGCGAUAUACAGUAAGCGGCCAAGCGAAAGCAUUAAGUAUUCCACCUGGGGAGUACGCCGGCAACGGUGAAACUCAAAGGAAUUGACGGGGGCCCGCACAAGCGGAGGAACAUGUGGUUUAAUUCGAUGAUACGCGAGGAACCUUACCCGGGCUUAAAUUGCAGUGGAAUGAUGUGGAAACAUGUCAGUGAGCAAUCACCGCUGUGAAGGUGCUGCAUGGUUGUCGUCAGCUCGUGCCGUGAGGUGUCGGCUUAAGUGCCAUAACGAGCGCAACCCUUAUCUUUAGUUACUAACAGGUUAUGCUGAGGACUCUAGAGAGACUGCCGUCGUAAGAUGUGAGGAAGGUGGGGAUGACGUCAAAUCAGCACGGCCCUUACGUCCGGGGCUACACACGUGUUACAAUGGGGGGUACAGAAGGCAGCUAGCGGGUGACCGUAUGCUAAUCCCAAAAGCCUCUCUCAGUUCGGAUCGAAGUCUGCAACCCGACUUCGUGAAGCUGGAUUCGCUAGUAAUCGCGCAUCAGCCACGGCGCGGUGAAUACGUUCCCGGGCCUUGUACACACCGCCCGUCAAGCCAUGGGAGCCGGGGGUACCUGAAGUACGUAACCGCAAGGAUCGUCCUAGGGUAAAACUGGUGACUGGGGCUAA